This 229-nucleotide ribosomal RNA is filed under the name Vibrio parahaemolyticus. RNAcentral describes it as "partial 16S ribosomal RNA". It matches the Rfam family "Bacterial small subunit ribosomal RNA", at positions 1 to 218 of the family's 1533-position model. The record is from RNAcentral. Lineage: Bacteria; Pseudomonadati; Pseudomonadota; Gammaproteobacteria; Vibrionales; Vibrionaceae.
AAAUUGAAGAGUUUGAUCAUGGCUCAGAUUGAACGCUGGCGGCAGGCCUAACACAUGCAAGUCGAGCGGAAACGAGUUAUCAGAACCUUCGGGGAACGACAACGGCGUCGAGCGGCGGACGGGUGAGUAAUGCCUAGGAAAUUGCCCUGAUGUGGGGGAUAACCAUUGGAAACGAUGGCUAAUACCGCAUGAUGCCUACGGGCCAAAGAGGGGGACCUUCGGGCCUCUC